GACGAACGCUGGCGGCGUGCUUAACACAUGCAAGUCGAACGGAAAGGCCCUGCUUUUGUGGGGUUCUCGAGUGGCGAACGGGUGAGUAACACGUGAGUAACCUGCCCUUGACUUUGGGAUAACUUCAGGAAACUGGGGCUAAUACCGGAUAGGAGCUCCUGCUGCAUGGUGGGGGUUGGAAAGUUUCGGCGGUUGGGGAUGGACUCGCGGCUUAUCAGCUUGUUGGUGGGGUAGUGGCUUACCAAGGCUUUGACGGGUAGCCGGCCUGAGAGGGUGACCGGCCACAUUGGGACUGAGAUACGGCCCAGACUGCAACGGGAGGCAGCAGUGGGGAAUAUUGCACAAUGGGCGGAAGCCUGAUGCAGCAACGCCGCGUGCGGGAUGACGGCCUUCGGGGUGUAAACCGCUUUCGCCUGUGACGAAGAGUGAGUGACGGUAAUGGGUAAAGAAGCACCGGCUAACUACGUG
RNAcentral lists this ribosomal RNA (468 nucleotides) under uncultured bacterium. RNAcentral describes it as "partial 16S ribosomal RNA". It matches the Rfam family "Bacterial small subunit ribosomal RNA", at positions 28 to 507 of the family's 1533-position model. The record is from RNAcentral.